AACAAAUCACCGACCCAUUGCCUACGAGUUUGUCCUACUACUACUGUUACUUGUCUUGCUCUGCUGCUACUACUGUUGCUACUACUGUCACUUGUCUUGCUCUGCUGCUGCCACUACUUGUGAGAACCUGGAAUUUACUUCCAGACCCUCCUGUGUAUAUUUGUCAACCCCAGGAUCAUUGCUGAUAACACAACAAAAUGGUAUCAUUGCACGAUACGUAAAAUUAUUUUAUUACAUAUUGCCCCAAGGCAUACAUUGACAAAUGUCUCAUGACAUUUAUUACAAUCAGAAAACAACGGAAAAUACAAUGCGUAGCGAUUCCAUCUCAGCCACAGGCAGUCGAUGUAGUCCACGUGACCUCACUCCUACGGAUCGCCAUAGUAGUCGUAGUCAUCACCUUCAUCUUCAUGUAACUCUGUUGUCAACAAAAGUAUUGCCAUGAGUACGUUACGUACUCAACAUACCUCCUUCGGAGAAGGUCCUAACAGCUACAUGUGGCUUCAAAGGAAGGUUGUAUGGCUCAUUUGCAUAAAAGCUAAUUUUAUUUGAAAACCAUAGCAUUUGGAUAAAAGCAGUUUUUUGAUGAAAACAUGUUUAUAUCCAGAGUAACUUUCAUCAAAGUGAGGAUCCUCGAUCAACUCACACUCAUCAUAGGUUCCAACAAUUGGGGCAAAGAGGGAAUAAGCAAGACAGGUCCCGUAUGUCAAGAAAGAUUCAUGUGUCAAUGACUAAAAGGUCAAUCAACAAGCACCUAUAGGGUAAUAAGCAUGGCUAAGCAUUUCUACUCUACCGGAUACUGUAUACUUCUACUCGGGUGUCAAAUGGAUAGGCGACAAGUGGAUCAAGGUAAUGUGUCAAUCGACACGCUACCUACAAGAUUAAAAACAUGCAUAUUGUAACCAUAAAACUCAAUGCGGUUUAUAAAACAUAAGAUAAGUAUGAUCAAAGAAGGAGGCAUGCCUUCGUUGUUGAGUCCUUCUUCGUUAACCUGUGUAUCUCCAUGCAUGUCCAACAUCGUCACUCCCUACUCGUCGUAACGAUAGCAAAUAAAAAACACAUGAAUACCAAAGAAACAGUAAAUCCAAAUAACAUCCAAAACAAAUUAAGAGUGGAUGAAUAGCAAGAUAUUGAUCGGAUGGAGAUUCCAAAAUGAAGUAUCAUGAUAGGGAAGGUGAGAUAUAGGAUUCAACGAAGUGAUACAGUUAGGUUGACACUGCUAAUUAAGGAAGGCUUAACGAUCAAGACUAACGUUGUGAUACAGAUUAAAAUAAAAUAGGAUCCACUCCCUUAUGACAAACCAAUACUAUGGUACAAAGUAAUUAAUUAACUUAAUAAUGAGACACAUCUCAUGCAAUGCAUGCGUGUAUAGGAUCAUAAAGAUGUGCUAACUAAUAACACAAGCAUCAAACAUACAAGUGAUCAUGAGAAUAAUUAAACUAGGAGAUGUUCUUUAUAACAUGAAAUAACAAAUAUCCGAUUAACUACUGACAACAAGAUUAUACCCACAUGCUUGUAAUAGCAUGGCAAACUAAGCACACUAAGCAUAUGAGAAAGGCACAAGUCAACUAACGAAAGGUAAACUAUCCAAUCAUGUGAUGAACUAAUGAAACAAGUAUUAAACACUCAUAAUACUAAAAUGAUACAAAGCCAAACAUCUAUACAGAGGAACUAAGUAGGCACACAAAACAUCAUGAGGCAUGAAAGAUGACUAAGCAUAGAAUAACUCAAUAGCAAGGUAAACAAAUAUAACAUCUAAACAUGGAUGAUCAUCACAUGAGAUACCACACUAAGCUACCAAUAGAAUACAACUCGUAACUAUGAGAUAACUUAGUUGAUAUCAACUAUCAUGAAGAUCAAGCAUGGCACUAGCAUGCAAUCUCACAUUCUAGUCAUGACAUGUAAGAACACGAAAUCAUGGAAUAAGCACACAACCCUAUCAUGUUAGUUAAUACAGGUAAGCACGUUCAUAAAUAGUAAUGACCAUGUAGGCAAGUAAACAACUAGAUCAUAUAAUCAACUAAUCAACAUGUACUAUACAACACUAAUAAAUGAUGGCAUGCAUUUCUAAAUACUACAACCUCAUUUGCAAAUACAUAGAAGCACAACCAAGACAUCGUACAACACACGGGUUGGUACACACAUGACAUGUAAGUCAACUAAGCAUGCAUAGCUACCAUCCUAGGUAAACAAGACAACUAAGAUAAAUAACAAGAAGUAAUAAAGUAGGUUAUAUGCUACAACCUAAAUCAUAUGUAACAAUACAUAUCUGAAACGUGACAUGAAACAAGCAACCAUGAAUAAUGGAUAGCAAACAUCUAUAAAACUACAUGAUCAAAUAGAAGAUAAUAUCUAUGCAACGAACUAUAAUGUAGUCACCUUCAAUAAAAAAGCAUCUCAUUUGAUAUCUAUCAUAAUUAACAUAUGCAAAACACAUGAAAUAAUACAACUAACCUAUACUAGACAUGCAUGACUAAAUGUUAGCCGACCAAGAUAAAUAUUUAGAUAACUCUAAAUAUUUGUAAAGAUUAAAUGAUAAUUAACUAUACGCAACAACCAAUGAUUAACCUUGACUUCGUUUAGCUUAUAGCAACUCCAAAACAAUAUCAACUUACUCAAAAAUCUAAUGUAACAUAACAUGCUCAUGAUAACUAUUAAAUGAAAAUUAAAUAUAUAACACAUAUGAUUAGAUAAACGCUAACCUACAACGUGCCAUGACUUCACACAUAAACAAUCACAUAAGCAACAUGAUUGAGAAAGAAUAUAUGGAACAAUCUAAUAUAUUUUCCAUGUUAAACAAAAAUAAAUUAAACAAACCCCCCUAGAAAGUUGAUUGUUGGAGGGCACUCGUGAAUUUGGCUAGCCAUGGUUUGUGUAUGUAUGGUGGAGGGGGGUAAACUUUAUAUUUCCGCUUGGNCAUAUAUCCUAUGACUACUUACCGCAUCAAAGAAAAAUAACACGUGAAAUAACAUGUUCAACAAAUAAUUCAACUGUAAAAAAUAUAGGGCUAUAACACGCAGUUCAUCACACGCAUGACUGUGUUCUAAAGUAGCAUACUAAUCAUGAGCAUAAUUAUAAAGACCUAAACCAAAAAUAGACUGUUACACAAUCAUCAUAGACAUGACAUGACUUCAAAACAACAAAUACAGAUGCAACAAGGANAAUAUAAAAUAUACCUAAGAUAUAUUCAUGCUAGAAAAAAGCUAAAUUAUAUAAAACAUUAAGUAUUCCAUAAUUAAAAAAUAAGAAACACUUAGAAUAUUCUACAUAUCAGCAUGUCAAUCGUUCACCAAAUAUUGUACGCAAGCAUAAAAGAAAACUAUACAUGGUACCACAAAUCAUUGAGCCUAAACAAUAUGUUUAACUAUUUAACAAUUUAACCGGGAGUAAAAUAAGUCUAGAGAAUCAUAUAUUACUUCUACAACGAGAGAUAAAUAAAAAAUAUUUUCAUACAUAACAGGAACGUAAUAAAAGUAAAAAUAAUACCAAAUUCACUACAACCAUACGCGAACUACUCAAACUCAAAACAACGGUGGGUUCCUAGGGUCAUAUAGAACAUUUCAUCUAUCAUAACCGAUGAACAAAAACUAUGAAAACAUGCCGAUGCCAUCAGAUGACAUUCGUUCAUGCGUCGACGCGAACAACGACAUAGAUAGGUCGAAUGAUGGUGUCUAUUGGACACACUAGAUGAUGAGGAGUACGCGUGUAAAUGGAAUUUGAUAGAGGCUCACCGAGCUUGACAGGACAGGGUGAUGAACUUGACAAACAGUGUACACGGACAUGCGGAAUUCUUCGCGUGUGGUUGACGAAUCACCUUCUUUCUUCUGUGAAUGGAUUCACGACAUGGAGGAGGAGAUCCUGGCCCAAGGAAUAGGAUGGAGGUGGUCCAAGUCAUCGGAAUCGCAACCUCGCGUCCAUGGAGCUUCAUAGUUCACGGAGGGCUCUUGUAGAGAGGAGGAAGGGAAUAGGCAUGAGAACCGCUGGGAAUGAGAGAGGAGAUCGUGGUGCACGUCUAGAUAUCUUCAAAACUGGAAACGAUUGAGAUUUAUGGAAAUUGAAGGAGGAGAUGUUUCAUGGCUGUACGUUUCUUUGAAAGAAGCUGAAAGUUUGUUUUCUCUGUAGGUGCGUGCGUGUACGCGUGGGUGGAGAAGGAAGAGGGAGCGUUUGGGUUGGAGCUGAGAAAUCACGCAAGUGGAGAGAGGGAAUUAAAGUGUACCAUUGGUGGUGGAGUGGUGGCUGUUUCCUCUUCUUCUCUAAGUUACUCUCUCAUGGUUUCUCUCAUGGACGAACGUAUGUGAGGAACAAGGAAUUCAGCCACAACGUGAGAGAAAUGAGCUAAGGGUCAAGCUGAGCAAGGAAUUAGAAAACAAAAAUUGGGAUAAGCCCAUUUGGUUGAAGGAAA
This 4399-nucleotide long non-coding RNA is filed under the name Hordeum vulgare. RNAcentral's name for it is "long non-coding RNA (HVUL_LNC004896)". The record is from RNAcentral. Lineage: Eukaryota; Viridiplantae; Streptophyta; Magnoliopsida; Poales; Poaceae.